RNAcentral lists this transfer RNA (66 nucleotides) under Trichuris sp. LO613. RNAcentral describes it as "tRNA-Glu". The record is from RNAcentral. Lineage: Eukaryota; Metazoa; Nematoda; Enoplea; Trichinellida; Trichuridae.
GGUCUUAUGGUGAAUUUACCAGACACGCUAUCACAAUGAAAUUUCAAUUCAUAGUAAAAUAGACUA